Molecule: ribosomal RNA, 503 nt
Filed under: uncultured bacterium
Lineage: Bacteria
Description: partial 16S ribosomal RNA
Rfam family: Bacterial small subunit ribosomal RNA
Source: RNAcentral
AUUGAACGCUGGCGGCAGGCUUAACACAUGCAAGUCGGGCGGGGUGAUGGUGCUUGCACUAUCACUUAGCGGCGGACGGGUGAGUAAUGCUUAGGAAUCUGCCUAUUAGUGGGGGACAACAUCUCGAAAGGGAUGCUAAUACCGCAUACGUCCUACAGGAGAAAGCAGGGGAUCACUUGUGACCUUGCGCUAAUAGAUGAGCCUAAGUCGGAUUAGCUAGUUGGUGGGGUAAAGGCCUACCAAGGCGACGAUCUGUAGCGGGUCUGAGAGGAUGAUCCGCCACACUGGGACUGAGACACGGCCCAGACUCCUACGGGAGGCAGCAGUGGGGAAUAUUGGACAAUGGGGGGAACCCUGAUCCAGCCAUGCCGCGUGUGUGAAGAAGGCCUUAUGGUUGUAAAGCACUUUAAGCGAGGAGGAGGCUCUUUUGGUUAAUACCCAAGAUGAGUGGACGUUACCCGCAGAAUAAGCACCGGCUAACUCUGUGCCAGCAGCCGCAGUAA